UUUAGUAGCGGCGAGUGAAGCGGCAAAAGCUCAAAUUUGAAUCUGGCGCCUUCGGUGUCCGCAGCUUGUAAUUUGAAGAUUGUAACCUUGGGGUUGGCUCUUGUCUAUGUUUCUUGGAACAGGACGUCACAGAGGGUGAGAAUCCCGUGCGAUGAGAUGCCCAAUUCUAUGUAAGGUGCUUUCGAAGAGUCGAGUUGUUUGGGAAUGCAGCUCUAAGUGGGUGGUAAAUUCCAUCUAAAGCUAAAUAUUGGCGAGAGACCGAUAGCGAACAAGUACAGUGAUGGAAAGAUGAAAAGAACUUUGAAAAGAGAGUGAAAAAGUACGUGAAAUUGUUGAAAGGGAAGGGUUUGAGAUCAGACUCGAUA
This 365-nucleotide ribosomal RNA is filed under the name Meyerozyma guilliermondii. RNAcentral's name for it is "eukaryotic LSU rRNA". It matches the Rfam family "Eukaryotic large subunit ribosomal RNA", at positions 79 to 440 of the family's 3401-position model. The record is from RNAcentral. Lineage: Eukaryota; Fungi; Ascomycota; Pichiomycetes; Serinales; Debaryomycetaceae.